RNAcentral lists this transfer RNA (58 nucleotides) under Glyptelasma annandalei. RNAcentral's name for it is "tRNA-Ser". The record is from RNAcentral. Lineage: Eukaryota; Metazoa; Arthropoda; Thecostraca; Poecilasmatidae.
AAAAAUGAUAAAAUAAAGGCUUCUAACCUUUAAUAUUGCAUCUAAUGUAACAUUUUUC